AGAGUUUGAUCCUGGCUCAGAACGAACGCUGGCGGCGUGGAUAAGACAUGCAAGUCGAACGAGACUUUUCGUUGUAGCAAUACGAUGGAAAGUUUAGUGGCGAACGGGUGCUUAACACGUGGGCAACCUGCCAUGAAGUGGGGGAUAGCUCGCCGAAAGGCGAAUUAAUACCGCAUAUGAUUAGAGAGGACAUCCUUUCGAAAUUAAAGUCGGGGCAACCUGACGCUUCUUGUGGGGCCCGCGGCCUAUCAGCUAGUUGGUGAGGUAACGGCUCACCAAGGCUUUGACGGGUAGCUGGUCUGAGAGGACGACCAGCCACACUGGGACUGAGACACGGCCCAGACACCUACGGGUGGCAGCAGUCGAGAAUUUUUGACAAUGGGGGAAACCCUGAUCGAGCGACGCCGCGUGGAGGAUGAAGGUCUUCGGAUUGUAAACUCCUGUCAUUGGGGAACAAGGUGCAUAUGUUAACUGCGUGUGUAUUGAUAGUACCCGAAGAGGAAGAGACGGCUAACUCUGUGCCAGCAGCCGCGGUAAUAC
RNAcentral lists this ribosomal RNA (540 nucleotides) under uncultured bacterium. RNAcentral's name for it is "bacterial SSU rRNA". It matches the Rfam family "Bacterial small subunit ribosomal RNA", at positions 8 to 526 of the family's 1533-position model. The record is from RNAcentral.